This 72-nucleotide transfer RNA is filed under the name Phrynosoma platyrhinos (Desert horned lizard). RNAcentral describes it as "tRNA-OTHER". Lineage: Eukaryota; Metazoa; Chordata; Lepidosauria; Squamata; Phrynosomatidae. The record is from RNAcentral.
GCCGGCAUGGCAUAGUGGUUUGAAUGUUGGACUAAGACUCUGGAGACCAGGGUUCGAUUCCCAGCUCGGCCA